RNAcentral lists this ribosomal RNA (474 nucleotides) under bacterium enrichment culture clone ALO1_GLFRUDD03FX0RY. RNAcentral's name for it is "bacterial SSU rRNA". It matches the Rfam family "Bacterial small subunit ribosomal RNA", at positions 9 to 490 of the family's 1533-position model. The record is from RNAcentral.
GAGUUUGAUCCUGGCUCAGAUUGAACGCUGGCGGCAUGCCUUACACAUGCAAGUCGAACGGCAGCACGGGAGCUUGCUCCUGGUGGCAAGUGGCGAACGGGUGAGUAAUGCAUCGGAACGUAUCCUGGAGUGGGGGAUAACGUAGCGAAAGUUACGCUAAUACCGCAUAUUCUGUGAGCAGGAAAGCGGGGGACCUUCGGGCCUCGCGCUCUUGGAGCGGCCGAUGUCGGAUUAGCUAGUUGGUGAGGUAAAGGCUCACCAAGGCGACGAUCCGUAGCAGGUCUGAGAGGAUGAUCUGCCACACUGGAACUGAGACACGGUCCAGACUCCUACGGGAGGCAGCAGUGGGGAAUUUUGGACAAUGGGGGCAACCCUGAUCCAGCCAUGCCGCGUGAGUGAAGAAGGCCUCGGUUGUAAGUACUCUUCGUCGAGGGAAGGAAGUUAGUACACCGGACCAAGUACCUACGGUGUAGG